This 451-nucleotide ribosomal RNA is filed under the name uncultured bacterium. RNAcentral describes it as "partial 16S ribosomal RNA". It matches the Rfam family "Bacterial small subunit ribosomal RNA", at positions 28 to 507 of the family's 1533-position model. The record is from RNAcentral.
AGCGAACGCUGGCGGCAUGCCUAACACAUGCAAGUCGCACGGGGGGGCUUCGGCCUCCCAGUGGCGGACGGGUGAGGAACGCGUAGGGACCUGUCGAGGGGUGGGGGAUAACCGCGGGAAACUGCGGCUAAUACCGCAUGACGCCGCGGCGUGACAGCCGGGGCCAAAGGCGAAAGCCGCCCGCCGAGGGGCCUGCGUCCGAUUAGCUGGUUGGCGGGGUAGCGGCCCACCAAGGCGUCGAUCGGUAGCUGGUCUGAGAGGGUGAUCAGCCACACCGGGACUGAGACACGGCGCGGACUCCUACGGGAGGCAGCAGUGGGGAAUAUUGGACAAUGGGCGCAAGCCUGAUCCAGCAAUGCCGCGUGGGUGAAGAAGGUCUUCGGAUUGUAAAGCCCUUUCGGCGGGGACGAUGGUGACGGUACCCGCAGAAGAAGCCCCGGCUAACUUCGUG